AGGAGUCGAAUUAAAAUAUAGAAAAAAUCGCAAAAGAUAAAAAUAAUUGACAAAGUGUUCUUUUGCACAAAACUAAUAGAACAGAGGAAAGGAAGUUGAAAUAUGAAUUGCCCUCCCCCACACAAAAAAGAGUCAGAAAAAACACCAAAACACGUCAUACAAAUAUUACUUAGUCACUAAGAAUAUUCUAAAUAGUACAGCUGUACAAAGUACAAGUGUUAACUGAACUUCAGAAGCAAAACAGACUUAUUGUCCUUCCCGUCCUUAUUAAGGCGUCGCUUAAGCGUAAGCAACACUUAAGCAUUAAGGCGUGAUUAGAAGGCAAGGCGUCCUGCUCGCCUUGCCCACGUACGUCGCCUUAGCAGCAAGGUGUGGCAAGGCAUCCUCGGGGUGUCGCCUUAGCUAUAGGAUAAGGUUUGGGGGGGAUAAUACCUGGACGAUUGGAAGUCCAUCCAACGUGAACAGUGAAAGGCUGGAGGUUGUGCGCGGCUGAGGUUCGCAGAACAGAAAUGGCGGCGCGCGGCGGCUCAGGCGCGCAGGGCACGGCGACGAGCAGCCCCGGCCCUGGCCCUUCCUCCCUUCUGCAGGCAUUCAGAUGGCGCGGCGCAGGCGCGUGGCACGCUCCUGCUCUGUCCAAGCUUCCCAGACGCAGGGUACUGGGUACUCCCUCCUCUACCCUCUUGUAUUCUCUGUUCUUCCAUUCCCUCCACUACUCUGAAUUCGUACGCUUGGGACUUAUUUUGCAGUUACUGCCUUGUCUUGCUCCAGUACUGCACUGCACAGCUUGAAAAUGGAGAGUGAAGGCUCUGUUGGUGCUCCGGUUGAUGUUGAUGCAUAUGACCCUAUGGCUGAUCCAAAGCGGAGAGCAAAGUCCAAUGAUCACGAAUGGAACUAUGGCUAUUGGACAGCAACUUGGAACCGAGAUAAGGUCGCAUGCAGUAUUUUCAAGACCGUGACAACUGGAGGGAUCAAAAGGUUGAAAGAACAUCUUGCAGGUAGUUUUGCGGACACAUUAAUGUGUUCUAAAACUACAACAGAGAUUAGAAAAAAAAAAGAAAGCAUAUUUGGACAAGAAUAAGAUAUGCAAGCCUAUUUUCCUUGAUGAUGAUGGUCAGGGGCAGCAGGAUACCAUUUCUGUUCAUCAACCUAGCUGGACAGCCUCUAAAAGGACGAGAGCUGCAUCUCAGUUUAGGGGAGCAGCUCCACAACCAUCCAACAUGGAAAAAGAAACAGAAAAAAUUGCAACCAUGCUUUGGAGAACUCCGGAACAAGUUGUGGAUGACAGGCGCUCAUCAGGGUCGCACCAAAGCACCAUAGAGGCUAGAAUGAAGCUAAAGGCUGACAGAGAUUAUGUGAAUGAGCAAUGGGCACUGUGGUUCUAUGAGUGUGGCAUUCCUUUUAAUGCCAUUAGUUCCCAGAAGUUUCAGAUUGCUUGUGAAGCUCCCGCACAAUAUGGUUCAGGUUAUGUGCCUCCUAGUUUCCAUGAUUUGAGGGAACCUUUACUUAAUUCGUGUGUGAAGAAGACAAGCAACAUGAGAGCUAAGCAUGAGAUAGUAUGGAGAAAUUAUGGCUGCACCCUGUUGUCUGAUGGGGACUGAUAGAAGGGGUCGUCACCUAUCAACUUCCUUGUUAACAGACCAGAAGGUACUUAUUUUAUGGAAUCUGUUGAUGCAUCAAAUGUACAACAUAAUGCAGAUAUGCUAGCUGAUUUGCUUGAGAGAAUUGGUAAGAUUGGAACUUUGGAAGAGAUAAGGUUGUUCAAGUAGUAACUGAUAAUGGUGCUAAACUGCUAAUUACAAGGCAGCAGGCGGGAUUUUAAUGGACCGGAAUACCUGAUUCCAACAUUAUUUUGGACUCCUUGUGCUGCACAUUGUUUGGAUCUCAUGUUGGAAGAUAUUGGAAAAUGGAAAGACUUCAAGAAGCCUACUGCACAAGCCAAAAGGGUCACCAGUUUUAUUUAUAGGCAUGGAAGAAUUUUAAGUGCAAUGAGGGAGAAGACAGGUGGGAUGGAUCUGGUGAGACCGGCAGCAACUUGAUUUGCCACAUGCUUCCUUACAUUGAAGCGCUUACACAAACAUCGAGAUGCCUUGAGAGCUCUCUUUGUGAGUGAUGCAUGGACCAACAACAAAUUAGCAAAGACAGAGGCAGGCAAGGGUGUGUAUGACAUUGUUCUAUUCAAGGUUUUUUGGUCCUCGGUUGAAGAUUGCCUUAGAGCUUCGGCGCCACUUCUUAUUGUGCUUAGAGCAGUACAUCGUGAUGAAAAACCAGCCAUGCAUAGAAGUUGCUGCACUAAUGAAUGUUGCAAAAGAGAAGAUAAGGCUUAGCUUUCCUACCCAAAACAAGCAGGCAUUGCUGAAAAAAUCAUGGACAUCAUUGAGCGUCGGUGGGUGACACAAAUGAACCAUCCAUUAUAUGGAGCUGCACUCUAUUUGAACCCGGAAAAGUUUUUUGCCAUCCAAAAGAAGGGGUAUGAUACAUAUGUUGAAGAGCUAAUGAGUUGUUUCAAUGAUGUGCUAGCAAGAAUGAAGCCUAAUGAAGAAUUUAGGUCCAUGAUUGAUGAAUAUGCCAUGCAUUAUGAAGACCAAAGAGGGCCUAUCUUUCCUAGCAAGUUAGUGCUCGAAAAUAUUCAAUCAAAAAGCCCUCGUAAAAACUAUAUAUGAUUGGUUGAUUGUUUUCUUAUUUCAGCAUAUGCAUUCCAUUAUUAAAUGUUGUUAUACAUUUGCAUUUGUAAUAGUUGAUCGGUGGUGUUCGUAUGGUGGUCGGGCAUAUGAACUACAAAGAUUUGUGAAGCGUGUGGUUAGCCUUUGUGCUUCAUCAUCCGGUUGUGAGAGGAAUUGGAGUACAUUUGAAUUAUGCAUACAAAGAAGAGAAAUCAGUUGUUACACAAGAAGUUGAAUGACUUGGUCUAUGUUUCAUACAAUUGGAAGAUGGAAAGUAGGUUCCAAAUGAGAAGGGAGAAAGCCGGCUCAAGUUAUGACUCGUUAGUUAUUAAAGACUUUGAUUGGGACAAUAAGUGGAUAGACCCAUCAGUGGUACAUCCGGGCAGGGAUAAUGAUGGUCUUAAUGAUUAAACAUGGGGUCAUGUUCAUGUUGCUGCUGGAGCAUCAAACUCACUUCGAGGGCGCAACCUUCCAACGCAAGCUAGGCAGACCAAACCUACACAAAGCAUGCAAGAAUGAGGACACAAGUUGAAGAAGAUGGAGAAGAAGCACAUGAUUCUACUGAUGAUGACAUUGAGCCUGAUCCACCAGAUGACAUAGAUGUGAGUGAUGUUGAUGAAGCUUUUGGUGGGGAAGAAGGCAGAGAAGACAAUGUUGAUCCCAUUGUUGAUAAGUCUGACAAUAGAUAUUGAGAGUUUGAGACUUCAUUGAGAUGAGAGUAUCAAAAACUACUUAUGUUGACUUUUAGCUUAUUAUGUUUGUUUAUGUUGAACUUGUAGAGUGCUAUUUGGUACUAUCCAACUUUUAUUUGGGACUAAUUCCCUAUAUUUUCUUAUUAUUUAUUUUUA
This is a long non-coding RNA of Zea mays, 3508 nucleotides long. RefSeq lists it as uncharacterized. Lineage: Eukaryota; Viridiplantae; Streptophyta; Magnoliopsida; Poales; Poaceae. The transcript has 2 exons. The record is from RefSeq and is a predicted model, not a curated record.